RNAcentral lists this ribosomal RNA (251 nucleotides) under uncultured prokaryote. Its description in RNAcentral is "partial 16S rRNA". It matches the Rfam family "Bacterial small subunit ribosomal RNA", at positions 525 to 775 of the family's 1533-position model. The record is from RNAcentral.
ACGUAGGGUGCGAGCGUUGUUCGGAGUUAUUGGGCGUAAAGGGCGUGUAGGCGGCUUGAGAAGUCUGGUUUGAAAUGCACUGGCUCAACUGGUGCGCUGGGUCUGAAACUGGCAGGCUAGAGUUCAGGGGAAGGAGGCGGAAUUCCAAGUGUAGCGGUGAAAUGUGUAGAUAUUAGGAGGAACACCAGUGGCGAAGGCGGCUUUCUGUACUUUAACUGACGCUGAGGCGCGAAAGCGUGGGGAGCAAACAG